CAGUCGCCGCGGGAAUACGAGGGGGGCUAGCGUUGCUCGGAAUGACUGGGCGUAAAGGGCGCGUAGGCGGCGAUCAAAGUCAGGCGUGAAAUUCCUGGGCUCAACCUGGGGGCUGCGCUUGAUACUUGGUUGCUUGAGUGGGGAAGAGGGUCGUGGAAUUCCCAGUGUAGAGGUGAAAUUCGUAGAUAUUGGGAAGAACACCGGUGGCGAAGGCGGCGACCUGGUCCUUGACUGACGCUGAGGCGCGAAAGCGUGGGGAGCAAACAGGAUUAGAUACCCCGGUAGUCCCUGUCUCUUAUAC
RNAcentral lists this ribosomal RNA (301 nucleotides) under uncultured bacterium. RNAcentral describes it as "partial 16S ribosomal RNA". It matches the Rfam family "Bacterial small subunit ribosomal RNA", at positions 509 to 807 of the family's 1533-position model. The record is from RNAcentral.